GUGGCCGCGCUGUCCGGCUCUGCGGCCACUCGAGGGUGGCGGGGGGGCGGUCCCGGUCCCUCCCGGCGGGGGCGGCCGCUGUGGCCCGAGGCCGGACGGGUACAGGAACGGGCGCACCGGUACCGGCACCGAGCCCGGCCCGCGGAACCGGGACCAUGGUGAGUCCCGGCCGCCGCUUUCGCUUUCGCUUUGCUCGGGGCAGGGCGGGCUCGGGGCCCCGGGAGCCGCCGGGCUCGGGAUCCCCCGGUGCCGGUGCUGGUGCCGGUGCCUGUCCCGGGCUCCCCCUGCCGCGGUCCCCGGGGCGGUGGGAGGUGGCCCGCGCGGGACAUUCCGUGUCCCCCGCGGUCCCGGUGUCCCCGUGUCCCUCCCCAGUCCCCGUGCUCCGGUGUCCCCGUCCCCACGGUUUCCUGUCCCCGAGCUCCGUGCGUGUCCCCCUCGCGGUGCCAUUGUCCCUGCCUGUCCCCGUGUCCCCUUGGCGCCCACGUCCCCGGUGCUCUCCCCGUGUCCCCCCGUGUCCCCACGGUGUCCCCGUGUCCCCAGGCGGGGCUGGAGCGGUGCCAGCGCGAGGCCGAGGAGGUGGCGGAGCUGAUGCGACAGAACGUGGCCAAGGCGCUGGAGCGGGAGGGACACCUGGAGCAGCUGCAGAGCCGGGCCCAGGACCUGCGACAGGCGAGCGAGGCCUUCACCCGCACCACGCGCACGGUGACGCGGCGCCAGCGCAGGAGACACCGCCGGUGGCACCUGGUGGCCCUCGGCCUCGGCCUCCUCCUCUUCUUCAUCCUGGCGCUGGCCCUGGCGCUGGCCCUGGCGCGGGCAUCGCCCGGGGCUGUCACCAGCACUGUCCCCACCCCGCAGGGCGGCACCCAGCACCCCCCCAGCACCGCGGGCACCCUCUGAGCACAGAGGGACCGCAAGGGACAAUGAAUAAAUGACAGAUAAACACCCGGGCUCUGGGGACACCUGCAGUGACAACACUGUCACCCUGCAAUGACACUAACAAACCAGCGGGACAUCCUCCAGGGGACCCCACAGCCAAUGAACUGCAAAAUCUGCUCUGAAGAGACCUCACACCGAAAACCCAGCCAGCCCCACGCGAGGGAAACAGCACGGCGAGCACAGGAGCUCUGUGGGGACACCUGAGAUCCCAAACCUGGAGCGUGGACCUCGGGGAGACCCUGCAACAAAUAAACACCAGGGUCUGCUUUGGGAUGGCCCUGCA
RNAcentral lists this long non-coding RNA (1219 nucleotides) under Junco hyemalis (dark-eyed junco). Its description in RNAcentral is "lncRNA (ENSJHYG00000008659.1)". The record is from RNAcentral. Lineage: Eukaryota; Metazoa; Chordata; Aves; Passeriformes; Passerellidae.